RNAcentral lists this ribosomal RNA (440 nucleotides) under uncultured bacterium. RNAcentral describes it as "partial 16S ribosomal RNA". It matches the Rfam family "Bacterial small subunit ribosomal RNA", at positions 338 to 795 of the family's 1533-position model. The record is from RNAcentral.
CCUACGGGUGGCAGCAGUAGGGAAUUUUGCGCAAUGGGCGACAGCCUGACGCAGCAACGCCGCGUGAACGAGACGCCCUUCGGGGUGUAAAGUUCUGUCAGUGGGGACGAAAACUGACGGUACCCACAGAGGAAGCACCGGCUAACUCCGUGCCAGCAGCCGCGGUACUACGGCGGGUGCAAGCGUUGUCCGGCAUCAUUGGGCGUAACGAGUUCGUAGGUGGCAUGUAAAGUCAGGUGUUAAAGGCGCAGGCUCAACCUGUGUAUGGCACUUGAUACUUGCAAGCUGGAAUGCGGUAGAGGUAAAGGGAAGUCGUGGUGUAGCGGUGAAAUGCUUAGAUAUCAGGAGGAACAGCGGUGGAGUAAGCGCUGUACUGGGCCGUAAUUGACGCUGAGGAACGAAAGCCAGGGUAGCAAAUGGGAUUAGAUACCCCGGUAGUC